GGCGGCCACCGCUAUUGGAAUACGAUUAAGACAUGCGAGUCGAGAGACGUAAGGUCUCGGCGGACCGCUCAGUAACACGUGGAUAACAUGCCCUAAGGUGGGGGAUAAUCUCGGGAAACUGAGAAUAAUACCCCAUAGAUCUAGAAAGCUGGAAUGCUUUUAGAUCGAAAACUCCGGUGCCCAAGGAUUGGUCUGCGGCGUAUCAGGUUGUAGUGGGUGUAACGGACCCCCUAGCCUAUGACGCGUAAGGGCCUUGAGAGAGGGAGCCCUGAGAUGGACUCUGAGACAUGAGUCCAGGCCCUACGGGGCGCAGCAGUCGCGAAAACUUCACAAUGGGGGAAACCCCGAUGAGGGAAUUCCAAGUGCCAGCACAUUGUGUUGGCUGUUCUCUGGUCUAAAA
RNAcentral lists this ribosomal RNA (400 nucleotides) under uncultured archaeon. RNAcentral's name for it is "bacterial SSU rRNA". It matches the Rfam family "Archaeal small subunit ribosomal RNA", at positions 19 to 424 of the family's 1478-position model. The record is from RNAcentral.